CCUACGGGAGGCUGCAGUGGGGAAUAUUGGACAAUGGGGGGAACCCUGAUCCAGCCAUGCCGCGUGUGUGAAGAAGGUCCUCGGGUUGUAAAGCACUUUCAGUGAGGAAGAACGCCUGGUGGUUAAUACCCAUCAGGAAAGACAUCACUCACAGAAGAAGCACCGGCUAACUCCGUGCCAGCAGCCGCGGUAAUACGGAGGGUGCGAGCGUUAAUCGGAAUUACUGGGCGUAAAGCGCGCGUAGGUGGCUUGAUAAGCCGGUUGUGAAAGCCCCGGGCUCAACCUGGGAACGGCAUCCGGAACUGUCAAGCUAGAGUGCAGGAGAGGAAGGUAGAAUUCCCGGUGUAGCGGUGAAAUGCGUAGAGAUCGGGAGGAAUACCAGUGGCGAAGGCGGCCUUCUGGACUGACACUGACACUGAGGUGCGAAAGCGUGGGUAGCAAACAGGAUUAGAUACCCGGGUAGUC
RNAcentral lists this ribosomal RNA (465 nucleotides) under Vreelandella stevensii. Its description in RNAcentral is "partial 16S ribosomal RNA". It matches the Rfam family "Bacterial small subunit ribosomal RNA", at positions 338 to 795 of the family's 1533-position model. Lineage: Bacteria; Pseudomonadati; Pseudomonadota; Gammaproteobacteria; Oceanospirillales; Halomonadaceae. The record is from RNAcentral.